GUCGCUUCAGUACUGACCAAGUGCCAGGAAGAGGUCAGCCACAUCCCUGCUGUCCACCCGGGUUCAUUCAGGCCCAAGUGCGACGAGAACGGCAACUAUCUGCCACUCCAGUGCUAUGGGAGCAUCGGCUACUGCUGGUGUGUCUUCCCCAACGGCACGGAGGUCCCCAACACCAGAAGCCGCGGGCACCAUAACUGCAGUGGUAAGCAGUG
RNAcentral lists this long non-coding RNA (212 nucleotides) under Homo sapiens (human). RNAcentral's name for it is "non-protein coding lnc-RPS14-4:1". The record is from RNAcentral. Lineage: Eukaryota; Metazoa; Chordata; Mammalia; Primates; Hominidae.